AGCUUUACUGUCGUUCCAAUUGAAGUGUUGCUCAAAUAUUGAUACAAUACAUUACCUCGGGCUGACCAAUUCAUUUGAUCAAGUUCCUCAAGAUAUUCAUACACUUCCUGUGAAAGAGCCAAUUCCAAGUAUUUGAUCAUUUCUGGUCACUUCCUUUCUAUUUAUGAUUGGUUAGUUGCACAAACAACAAAGGUGAUUGGUGCAUUCAAACUAUUCAACAGGAAGUUUACAAUUAUACUAGGAAGUGUAUGAAUAUCUCGAGGAACUUGAUGGAAUGAAUUGGUCAGCCCGAGGUAAUGUAUUGAAUCAAUAUUUGAGCAACACUUCAAUUGGAACGACAGUAA
Molecule: long non-coding RNA, 344 nt
Filed under: Paramuricea clavata
Lineage: Eukaryota; Metazoa; Cnidaria; Anthozoa; Malacalcyonacea; Plexauridae
Source: RNAcentral